GGAAUAUUGGACAAUGGGCGCAAGCCUGAUCCAGCAAUGCCGCGUGUGUGAAGAAGGCCUGCGGGUUGUAAAGCACUUUCAGUGGGGAAGAACGCCUGGGGGUUAAUACCCUCGGGGGUUGACGUUACCCACAGAAUAAGCACCGGCUAACUCCGUACCAGCAGCCGCGGUAAUACGAGAGGGUGCAAGCGUUAAUCGGAAUCACUGGGCGUAAAGCGCACGUAGGCGACAACGUAAGUCAGAUGUGAAACCCCCAGGCUCAACCCGGGUACGGCAUUUGAGACUGCGUCGCUCGAGUCUGAGAGAGGGGGGUGGAAUUCCGGGUGUAGCGGUGAAGUGCGUAGAGAUCCGGAGGAACACCAGUGGCGAAGGCGGCCCCCCGGCUCAAGACUGACGCUGAGGUGCGAAAGCGUGGGGAGCAAACAGUAUUAGAUACCCUGGUACUCCACGCCGUAAACGAUAUCGACUAGCCGUGGGGUCCAUUUAAGGGCUUCGUGGCGCAGCUAACGCGAUAAGUCGACC
This 522-nucleotide ribosomal RNA is filed under the name uncultured Gammaproteobacteria bacterium. Its description in RNAcentral is "bacterial SSU rRNA". It matches the Rfam family "Bacterial small subunit ribosomal RNA", at positions 358 to 870 of the family's 1533-position model. The record is from RNAcentral. Lineage: Bacteria; Pseudomonadati; Pseudomonadota; Gammaproteobacteria.